RNAcentral lists this transfer RNA (68 nucleotides) under Marmota monax (woodchuck). RNAcentral describes it as "tRNA.Val". Lineage: Eukaryota; Metazoa; Chordata; Mammalia; Rodentia; Sciuridae. The record is from RNAcentral.
GGUUGGUGGCUCAGUGGUAGAGCACUUGCUCAACACGUGUGAGGCACUGGGUUCAAUCCUCAGCACCA